This 5231-nucleotide long non-coding RNA is filed under the name Brassica napus (rape). RNAcentral describes it as "long non-coding RNA (BNAP_LNC004752)". The record is from RNAcentral. Lineage: Eukaryota; Viridiplantae; Streptophyta; Magnoliopsida; Brassicales; Brassicaceae.
UGAACUAACAUAUGAUGAUGUUCAAAGAGGUUUGGAGCCUUUGUGCUCUCCGUUUAUCCAGAAAAUAAUAAUUUUAUAGUGGUUAUUCCAUCGAUUUAGGAGGUAUUAUGAAGUUUUACUAACUUAAUUGAUAAAAACCCUUGAACGAUGCUCAUUUUGCAUGAAAAAGAGUUAAGCAUACAUUAAUACAAAUGUAGAAUAUGGUAGAAAUUUCAAAACAACACUAAAGAUUAUAGGCUUCAAUAUAUAAAGUAUUUACCAAAAACUCAAUAUUUUUGUAGGGGUUAGCCCAUUGAUUUUUAGAAAAUUUCAAAAAAUAUGACAAUAUUGUUUUAGUUCCUAGUUGCAUCCUGCACUAACAUAUGAUGAUGUUCAAAGAGGUUUGGAGCUUUUUUCGUCUCCGUUUAUCAAGAAAAUAAUAACUUUAUAGUGGUUAUUCCAUCGAUUUAGGGAGUAUUAUGAAGUUUUACUAAAUUAAUUGAUAAAAACCUUUGAACGAUGCUCAUUUUGCAUGAAAAAGAGUUAAGCAUACAUUAAUACAAAUGUAGAAUUUGGUAGAAAUUUUAAAACAACACUAAAGAUUAUAGGCUUCAGUAUAUAAAGUAUUUACCAAAAACUCAAUAUUUUUGUAGGGGUUAGCCCAUUGAUUUUUAGAAAAUUUUAAAAAAUAUGACAAUAUUGUUUUAAUGUCUAGUUGCAUCCUGCACUAACAUAUGAUGAUGUUCAAAGAGGUUUGAAGCCUUUGUCGUCUCCGUUUAUCAAAAAAAUAAUAAUUUUAUAGUGGUUAUUCCAUCGAAUUAGGAGGUAUUAUGAAGUUUUACUAAAUUAUUUGAUAAAAACUAUUGAACGAUGCUCAUUUACCAUGAAAAAGAGUUUAGCAUACAUUAAUACAAAUGUAGAAUAUGGUAGAAAUUUUAAAACAACACUAAAGAUUAUAGGCUUCAGUAUAUAAAGUAUUUACUAAAAACUCAAUAUUUUUGUAGGGGUUAGUUAGCCCAUAGAUUUUGAGAAAAUUUCAAAAAAUAUGAAAAUAUUAUUUUAAUGGCUAGUUGCAUCCUGAACUAACAUAUGAUGAUGUUCAAAGAGGUUUGGAGCCUUUUUGCUCUCCGUUUAUCAAGAAAAUAAUAAUUUUAUAGUGGUUAUUGCAUCGAUUUAGGAGGUAUUAUGAAGUUUUACUAAAUUAAUUGAUAAAAACCAUUGAACGAUGCUCAUUUUGCAUGAAAAAGAGUUUAGAAUACAUUAAUACAAAUGUAGAAUAUGGUUGAAAUUUUAAAACAACACUAAAGAUUAUAGGCUUCAGUAUAUAAAGUAUUUACCAAAAACUCAAUAUUUUUGUAAGGGUUAGCCCAUAGAUUUUGAGAAAAUUUCAAAAAAUAUGACAAUAUUGUUUUAAUGCCUAGUUGCAUCCUGAACUAACAUAUGAUGAUGUUCAAAGAGGUUUGGAGCCUUUGUGCUCUCCGUUUAUCAAGAAAAUAAUAAUUUUAUAGUGGUUAUUCCAUCGAUUUAGGAGGUAUUAUGAAGUCUUACUAAAUUAAUUGAUAAAAACAUUGAACGAUGCUCAUUUUGCAUAAAAAAUAGUUUAGCGUACAUUAAUACAAAUGUAGAAUAUUGUUGAAAAUUUAAAACAACACUAAAGAUUAUAGGCUUCAGUAUAUAAAGUAUUUUCCAAAAGCUCAAUAUUUUUGUAAGGGUUAGCCCAUAGAUUUUGAGAAUAUUUCAAAAAAAUAUGACAAUAUUGUUUUUAUGCCUAGUUGCAUCCUGCACUAACAAAUGAUGAUUUUCAAAGAGGUUUGGAGCCUUUGUGCUCUCCGUUUAUCAAGAAAAUAAUAAUUUUAUAGUGGUUAUUUCAUCGAUUUAGGUGGUAUUAUGAAGUAUUACUAAAUUAAUUGAUAAAAACAAUUUAACGAUGCUGAUUUACCAUGAAAAAGAGUUAAGCAUACAUUAAUUCAAGUGUAGAAUAUGGUAGAAAUUUUAAAACAACACUAAAGAUUAUAGGCUUCAGUAUACAAAGUAUUUACCAAAAACUCAAUAUUUUUGUAGGGGUUAGCCCAUAGAUUUUAAGAAAAUUUCAAAAAAUAUAUAACAAUAUUGUUUUAAUGCCUAGUUGCAUCCUGCACAAAUAUAUGAUGAUGUUCAAAGAGGUUUGGAGCCUUUGUGCUCUCUGUUUAUCAAGAAAAUAAUAAUUUUAUAUUGGUUAUCCAUCGAUUUAGGGGGUAUUAUGAAGUUUUACUAAAUUAAUUGAUAAAAACAAUUGAAUGAUGCUCAUUUACCAUGAAAAAGAGUUUAGCAUACAUCAAUACAAAUGUCGAAUAUGGUAGAAAUUUUAAAACAACACUAAAGAUUAUAGGCUUUAGUAUACAAAGUAUUUACCAAAAACUCAAUAUUUUUGUAGGGGUUAGCCCAUUGAUUUUAAAAAAUUUCAAAAAAUAUGACAAUAUUGUUUUAAUGGCUAGUUGCAUCCUGAACUAACAUAUGAUGAUGUUCAAAGAGGUUUGGAGCCUUUGUGCUCUCCGUUUAUCAAGAAAAUAAUUAUUUUAUAGUGGUUAUUGCAUAGAUUUAGAAGGUAUUAUGAAGUUUUACUAAAUUAAUUGAUAAAAACCAUUGAACGAUGCUCAUUUACCAUGAAAAAAGAGUUUAGCGUAUAUUAAUACAAAUAUAGAAUAUGGUAGAAAUUUUAAAACAACACUAAAGAUUAUAGGCUUCAGUAUAUAAAGUAUUUACCAAAAACUCAAUAUUUUUGUAGGGGUUAGCCCAUAGAUUUUGAAAAAAAUUCAAAAAAUAUGACAAUAUUGUUUUAAUGCCUAGUUGCAUCCUGCACUAACAUAUGAUGGUGUUCAAAGAGAUUUGGAGCCUUUGUCGUCUCCUUUUAUCAAGGAAAUAAUAAUUUUAUAGUGGUUAUUCCAUCGAUUUAGGGAGUAUUAUGAAGUUUUAUUAAAUUAUUUGAUAAAAACAAUUGAAAGAUGCUCAUUUACCAUGAAAAACAAUUAAGCAUACAUUAAUACAAAUGUAGAAUAUGGUAGAAAUUUUAAAACAACAAUAAAGAUUAUAGGCUUCAGUAUAUAAAGUAUUUACUAAAAACUCAAUAUUUUUGUAGGGUUAGCCCAUAGAUUUUGAGAAAAUUUCAAAAAAUAUGACAAUAUUGUUUUAAUGCCUAGUUGCAUCCUGCACUAACAUAUGAUGAUGUUCAAAAAGGUUUGGAGCCUUUGUCGUCUCCGUUUAUCAUGAAAAUAAUAAUUUUGUAGUGGUUAUUCCAUCGAUUUAGGGAGUAUUAUGAAGUUUUACUAAAUUAAUUGAUAAAAACAAUUCAAUGAUGCUCAUUUACCAUGAAAAAGAGUUAAGCAUACAUUAAUACAAAUGUAGAAUAUGACUAAAUUAAUUGAUAAAAACCAUUGAACGAUGCUCAUUUACCAUGAAAAAGAGUUUAGCAUACAUUAAUACAAAUGUAGAAUAUGGUAUAAAUUUUAAAACAACAAUAAAGAUUAUAGGAUUCAGUAAACAAAGUAUUUACCAAAAACUCUAUAUUUUUGUAGGGGUUACCCAUAGAUUUUGAGAAAAUUUCAAAAAAUAUGAAAAUAUUGUUUUAAUGCCUAGUUGCAUCCUGCACUAACAUAUGAUGAUGUUCAAAGAGGUUUGGAGCCUUUGUCGUCUCCGUUUAUCAAGAAAAUAAUAACUUUAUAGUGGUUAUUCCAUCGAUUUUGGGGGUAUUAUGAAGUUUUACUAAAUUAUUUGAUAAAAACAAUUGAACGAUGCUCAUUUACCAUGAAAAAGAGUUUAGAAUAAUACAUUAAUACAAAUGUAGAAUAUGGUAGAAAUUUCAAAACAACACUAAAGAUUAUAGGCUUCAGUAUACAAAGUAUUUACCAAAAACUCAAUAUUUUUGUAGGGGUUAGCCCAUAGAUUUUGAGAAAAUUUCAAAAAAUAUGACAAUAUUGUUUUAAUGCCUAGUUGCAUCCUGCACUAACAUAUGAUGAUGUUGAAAGAGGUUUGAAGCCUUUGUCGUCUCCGUUUAUCAAUAAAAGAAUAACUUUAUUGUGGUUAUUCCAUCGAUUUAGGGAGUAUUAUGAAGUUUUAUUAAAUUAUUUGAUAAAAACUAUUGAAAGAUGCUCAUUUACCAUGAAAAAGAGCUUAGCAUACAUUAAUACAAAUGUAGAAUAUGGUAGAAAUUUCAAAACAACACUAAAGAUUAUAGGCUUCAGUAUAUAAAGUAUUUACCAAAAACUCAAUAUUUUUGUAGGGGUUAGCCCAUAGAUUUUGAGAAAAUUUCAAAAAAUAUGACAAUAUUGUUUUAAUGCCUAGUUGCAUCCUGCACUAACAUAUGAUGAUGUUCAAAGAGGUUUGGAGCCUUUGUCGUCUCCGUUUAUCAAGAAAAUAAUAACUUUAUAGUGGUUAUUCCAUCGAUUUUGGGGGUAUUAUGAAGUUUUACUAAAUUAUUUGAUAAAAACUAUUGAAAGAUGCUCAUUUACCAUGAAAAAGAGUUUAGCAUACAUUAAUACAAAUGUAGAAUAUGGUAGAAAUUUCAAAACAACACUAAAGAUUAUUGGCUUCAGUAUAUAAAGUAUUUACCAAAAACACAAUAUUUUUGUAGGGGUUAGCCCAUAGAUUUUGAGAAAAUUUCAAAAAAUAUAACAAUAAUAUUUUAAUGCCUAGUUGCAUCCUGCACUAACAUAUGAUGAUGUUCAAAGAGGUUUAGAGCCUUUGUCGUCUCCGUUUAUCAAGAAAAUAAUAAUUUUAUAGUGGUUAUUCCAUCGAUUUUGGGGGUAUUAUGAAGUUUUACUAAAUUAUUUGAUAAAAACUAUUGAACAAGAAAAUAAUAACUUUAUAGUGGUUAUUCCAUCGAUUUUGGGGGUAUUAUGAAGUUUUACUAAAUUAUUUGAUAAAAACUAUUGAACGAUGCUCAUUUACCAUGAAAAAGAGUUUAGCAUACAUUAAUACAAAUGAUGAAUUAAAACAACACUAAAGAUUAUAGGCUUCAGUAUAUAAAGUAUUUACCAAAAACUCAAUAUUUUUGUAGGGGUUAGCCCAUAGAUUUUGAGAAAAUUUCAAAAAAUAUGACAAUAUUGUUUUAAUGCCUAGUUGCAUCCUGCACUAACAUAUGAUGACGUUCAAAGAGGUUUGAAGCUUUUGUCGUCUCCGUUUGUCAAGAAAAUAAUAACUUUAUAGUGGUUAUUGCAUCGAUUUAGGGAGUAUUAUGAAGUUUUACUAAAUUAAUUGAUAAAAACAAUUGAACAAUG